RNAcentral lists this ribosomal RNA (167 nucleotides) under Erica collina. Its description in RNAcentral is "5.8S ribosomal RNA". It matches the Rfam family "5.8S ribosomal RNA". Rfam says of the family: 5.8S ribosomal RNA (5.8S rRNA) is a component of the large subunit of the eukaryotic ribosome. It is transcribed by RNA polymerase I as part of the 45S precursor that also contains 18S and 28S rRNA. Lineage: Eukaryota; Viridiplantae; Streptophyta; Magnoliopsida; Ericales; Ericaceae. The record is from RNAcentral.
UUAAAUGACUCUCGGCAACGGAUAUCUCGGCUCUUGCAUCGAUGAAGAACGUAGCGAAAUGCGAUACUUGGUGUGAAUUGCAGAAUCCCGUGAACCAUCGAGUCUUUGAACGCAAGUUGCGCCUGAAGCCAUCAGGUUGAAGGCACGUCUGCYUGGGCGUCACGCAU